RNAcentral lists this ribosomal RNA (474 nucleotides) under uncultured organism. RNAcentral's name for it is "partial 16S ribosomal RNA". It matches the Rfam family "Bacterial small subunit ribosomal RNA", at positions 331 to 797 of the family's 1533-position model. The record is from RNAcentral.
GUACACUCCUACGGGAGGCAGCAGUGGGGAAUAUUGCACAAUGGGCGCAAGCCUGAUGCAGCCAUGCCGCGUGUAUGAAGAAGGCCUUCGGGUUGUAAAGUACUUUCAGCGGGGAGGAAGGCGAUAAGGUUAAUAACCUUGUCGAUUGACGUUACCCGCAGAAGAAGCACCGGCUAACUCCGUGCCAGCAGCCGCGGUAAUACGGAGGGUGCAAGCGUUAAUCGGAAUUACUGGGCGUAAAGCGCACGCAGGCGGUCUGUCAAGUCGGAUGUGAAAUCCCCGGGCUCAACCUGGGAACUGCAUUCGAAACUGGCAGGCUAGAGUCUUGUAGAGGGGGGUAGAAUUCCAGGUGUAGCGGUGAAAUGCGUAGAGAUCUGGAGGAAUACCGGUGGCGAAGGCGGCCCCCUGGACAAAGACUGACGCUCAGGUGCGAAAGCGUGGGGAGCAAACAGGAUUAGAUACCCUUGUAGUCCC